RNAcentral lists this long non-coding RNA (226 nucleotides) under Scleropages formosus (Asian bonytongue). RNAcentral's name for it is "lncRNA (ENSSFOG00015027831.1)". The record is from RNAcentral. Lineage: Eukaryota; Metazoa; Chordata; Actinopteri; Osteoglossiformes; Osteoglossidae.
ACAAGCCAUCCUCUACUUAAGCUGAUUGGUUCCUGAGCUUCAACCAAGAACUGGACAUCGGUCUCUCUUGACAUAAAUAUCCAUCCUCUGCGGUGGGGGGAGUGUCCUCGGAGCACUUUAUGACUUCCUAUUGCUGGCAGUAUUCUGUGCAGUGCUUCAGCUAGGACUGCCCAAGGUGAGCUCCUUACUUCUCGGUAGCUCAUGAAUAACAUCCAAGUCCAUAUGG